This is a long non-coding RNA of Anthonomus grandis grandis, 3283 nucleotides long. RefSeq lists it as uncharacterized. The record is from RefSeq and is a predicted model, not a curated record. The transcript has 2 exons. NCBI's taxonomy places the organism in Eukaryota, Metazoa, Arthropoda, Insecta, Coleoptera, Curculionidae.
UAUGUACCUAAUCUUGUAAUAAAUAAAAAUCAUACUCAAUGAAAUAAAAUCAAGCUCGAUUGCUUUACAAACAAAAAAGAUUUAAAGUUAAUGUUGGUUAUUUUGAAUAUAAAAUGUCUAUAAAUAUAAGUAAUAUGAAUCGGAACGACGACUAAACAAAAAACAAAUCAAAUAUCAGGAUUAUAUACUUCUUGUACAAAUUUUUAGGGUUUGCGAUGAAGAAGCUACUAAUAACUUCGUUAAUCUACCAGUAAAGCGCAAACUUGAAAGAGUAUCUCAAUAUACUGGCGUAAGCAUUUUAAUGGUGAAAAAAAUUCACAAAGAAGAUGAAGAAAGAAUGCGGACGGACCCCAACAAAAAGCUUUCUAGUCCCGGCAAAAAAAACCGCGAAUGACGAAGGUGGAACAAGACAACAACUUUCAUUUUCAAAUAGUUAGACACCUAAUAAAUUCGAUUUUAUAUGGAGUUUAAAGUUGUGCCCACUACCAGAAAGCUGUUGUAAAAAUUGCGAGAAGAAGAAAAUUUUCCUUAUGGCCGAGAAACUCUUAGCAACUUAUUAAAGGAAAAUGGCUUUUAUUGGCGAAAGUGUCAGAAUAAAAGAAAAAUUUUAAUGGAGCGACCCAAUAUUUUAUCUUUAAGGUAUAAAUACCUAAGAGAAAUAAAAAAACUCCGAGAUGAAGGUCGCAAUAUUGUCUAUUUAGAUGAAACUUGGAUAGACAAUGACCUAACGUUUAAAAAAUGCUGGCAGAGUGAGACUGUUACUGGAGUAAGUGAAAGUAGUGAGACUGAACAGGUACAAAUUGAUUAUACUUAUUUAAAUAAUAAUUUAAAUUAUAUAUAUUAUGUAGUAAAUUCAAUGUUUAAACAGCAUAAUUCGGAUUAUCUGCCGUGCUCUUUCCCUAGCGAUAUCAAGGCAUCUAGUACGGCACUCUUAAUUUAAGUGAAUAGACUAAGUAGGUGUAUUACAAAUUUUGUAUUUUCUUUACUUUUCUUUUAUCUCAAACUUCCCUAAUCUUGUCUGUCAGGCGUAAUCGAGUUGGGUUACGAGAAUAUACAAACCAUAUGUACAUAUAUCAUAUCUAAAGCAUUUUUUUAUUACAUAUUUACAAAUAAAAUAUAUUAGAAGACCUUAAUUUCCAAAUUAAUAUCUUACCUACAAAUGCCUAUUUUAAAAUUAAAACCAAACCAUAUUUUUUAAUAUUUAAUACAUUCAAAUCUGUUUAUAAAAUUUCGUACGUCACUGGCCAUUUCAUGAAUGAAAUGAGGCGGGUCUAGUCUACAAGGACGUUCCCCGCACCGACACCGCUUAGCUACAGAUUGGUUGGGCAGACUUUACACAACUUAUAAGUACACCGCGAAAACUAGCCUCAAAACUAGAACCUAAAUAUAAGAAAACUAAGUUUAGAAAUCAGCGACAUCCCAAGAAUAUUAAAAGACGAUCAUAAUUUUCAGGAACAAAAACCAUGAAGCUAAUCAUUCUUCUACUUCCGCUAAUAGUCAAUGCCCAGUAUAAGAUUGAAGAAUUAACGAAUCCUUUGCUUUCAGUAUACCAAGGAAUUAGUUAUAUCGUAACAAAUUACCAUCUUGUAUAUUAUCAUGUUAAUUUAACCAACAUAAAAGACUGUCUAAACAUUACAAAAACAACCCUUUUACAAACCAAUAUCACCCUCGGAAAAACUAAUGUUACCCCUUACUUUCCCUUAUAUAAGCUAUUGAUAACACGAAUUCAUAAUCUAUUUGAACAAGUAAAAUCAAUAGAAUCUUUUAUUCAACAUUAUUCUACCCCUCAAAAAAGAGUCAAAAGAGGAUUAUUUCAUUUCAUAGGUAAAACUCAAAAAACUUGGCACUAUAGACGAUAGCGAUCAAGAACGUUAUGAUACGUAUAUAAAGACAUUGCAAGAUAACCAAAAUACCUUGCAUCAUGACCUUUCCCUAACCCAGACAAUCGUUAAAAACUUGACGAGAGACAUAGACACCCAACUAAGCAAUAUUAAAAAUAACCAGGAAGUAUUAUUGACCCAGGUCACUGACUUGAAACAAAUGACCCAGUCUGUCUAUAACCAUAACUUCUUAUUUUAUUUUGCUAUUUGACAAUUUAGAAAAUAACCUUCGUGUGCUACAUGAAAUCUAUACGAACGUGCAAACCGCAAUUAAUUUCGCUGAGAUAAAUAUAAUGCAUUACAGCAUUUUUAAAUAUCAAGAGCUUAAAACGAUUAUCUUGAACAUUUACCCUAACAAUCGGAUACCUUUUGACAAUAUAAUCAAAUACUAUGAAAUUGCACAUGCAGACGUAACAAUUAAAGACAAUUUAAUUAUAUUCUAAGUAGCCAUUCCACUAAUAUCGGAAAAACCUCACAUGCUCUAUCAUAUAUACCCAAUUCCUGUAAAUAAUCAAUUAUUCACCAUUAAUAACAAGUUGUUAAAAUCCAAUAAUAAUUUCUAUAAUUUAAGAAAAACCUGUUUUAAAAUAGAAGGCAUGUUUUUAUGUCCUAAUAAUUUGCUUAAUCAAAAUGAACCUUGCAUUGUUCAAACUAUUAACCUAACCAAUCAUUGCCCUAUGAUACCUAUAAAAUAAAAAGAGACGUCUGCUACACAGUUAAAUGAUAAUUCAAUCAUAGUAAUCCCGAUUUCUGAGAAAAAUAUCUAUUUUGAAUGUCCCAGUCAAUACAGUAUCGAAACUAUAAGUAAACCAACCCUACUUAUACCCUCAGAUUGUAAAGUAGAAAUAGAUGAUAAAAUUUUUGACCCACAGAGACCAGAGACAAUCAAUCUAAGAUUAAAACUUCCUUCGAUUAAUAUAGAUGAGCGAUUAGUUCAAAAUAUCGAACCCCUAGACUUAAAAGAAAUAAAUCUUGAAAACAUUAAAGAAGAUUUGGACAACACUCAAAAAUUGGUGGUUCACCCCUUACCGCACUUCGAUAGUAUAAAUUCCGUAUUAUCGAUUGCUCUGUUUAUUAUUAUUAUUAUCCUUGUAUUGGUCCUAAGUAUGUAUUUCUAUAAAAAAUAUAAAACAGAAAAUGUAAAAGUGGACAUAGAAUUGAAACCCCUCGAAAAUCCCCAAUUUUUUCAGACUUAAGGAAGGGAGGAAUUAUAUGCCCACUUAUGCUUAAUAUAAGUUUAGUUUAAGAUAAUAAUUGUCACAGCUUAUUCAGCAUUUAGAAGUAUAUAUAAAGAGGAUGUGAAAGAGGAGUAGUUAGUCAUCUUAGCGCAGUCAUAAGUAAGCUUUGCAACAUUGUAACAUAAAUUGUAUUCUUGUGUUUAAUAAAUUAAUUUUUUUAAAACA